CUACGGGGGGCUCCAGUAGGGAAUAUUGGACAAUGGGCGAAAGCCUGAUCCAGCAACGCCGCGUGCGCGAUGACGGCCUUCGGGUUGUAAAGCGCUUUUAGAGGAGAUGAGAAAGGACAGUAUCCUCUGAAUAAGCCUCGGCGAACUACGUGCCAGCAGCCGCGGUAAACGUAGGAGGCUAGCGUUAUCCGGAUUUAUUGGGCGUAAAGCGCGUGCAGGCGGUCUAGCAAGUUGGAUGUGAAAGCUUCUGGCUUAACUGGGAGAGGUCGUUCAAUACUGCUAGACUAGAGAAUGGGAGAGGGAGGUGGAAUUCCGGGUGUAGUGGUGAAAUGCGUAGAUAUCCGGAGGAACACCAGUGGCGAAAGCGGCCUCCUGGACCACUUCUGACGCUAAGACGCGAAAGCUAGGGUAGCAAUCGGGAUUAGAUACCCGGGUAGUC
Molecule: ribosomal RNA, 439 nt
Filed under: uncultured bacterium
Lineage: Bacteria
Description: partial 16S ribosomal RNA
Rfam family: Bacterial small subunit ribosomal RNA
Source: RNAcentral